UGUGGGAGCGAGCUUGCUCGCGAUGAAGGUAUGUCAGUCGACAUCAUGGUCUGCUGACCCACCGCCAUCGCGAGCAAGCUCGCUCCCACA
RNAcentral lists this unclassified non-coding RNA (90 nucleotides) under Pseudomonas sp. NFACC15-1. Lineage: Bacteria; Pseudomonadati; Pseudomonadota; Gammaproteobacteria; Pseudomonadales; Pseudomonadaceae. The record is from RNAcentral. RNAcentral also lists the same sequence under 2 other names.